AUUGAACGCUGGCGGCAUGCCUUACACAUGCAAGUCGAACGGUAACAGGGAGCUUGCUCCGCUGACGAGUGGCGAACGGGUGAGUAAUAUAUCGGAACGUGCCCUAGAGUGGGGGAUAACUAGUCGAAAGAUUAGCUAAUACCGCAUACGAUCUAAGGAUGAAAGUGGGGGAUCGCAAGACCUCAUGCUCGUGGAGCGGCCGAUAUCUGAUUAGCUAGUUGGUAGGGUAAAAGCCUACCAAGGCAUCGAUCAGUAGCUGGUCUGAGAGGACGACCAGCCACACUGGGACUGAGACACGGCCCAGACUCCUACGGGAGGCAGCAGUGGGGAAUUUUGGACAAUGGGCGCAAGCCUGAUCCAGCAAUGCCGCGUGAGUGAAGAAGGCCUCGGUUGUAAGACUCUUUGUUC
Molecule: ribosomal RNA, 408 nt
Filed under: uncultured bacterium
Lineage: Bacteria
Description: bacterial SSU rRNA
Rfam family: Bacterial small subunit ribosomal RNA
Source: RNAcentral